AGUAGGCGAACGGGUGAGUAAUAUAUCGGAACGUACCCAGGUCGUGGGGGAUAACGUAGCGAAAGCUACGCUAAUACCGCAUACGAUCUAUGGAUGAAANCGGGGGAUCGCAAGACCUCGCGCGAUUGGAGCGGCCGAUAUCAGAUUAGGUAGUUGGUGAGGUAAAGGCUCACCAAGCCGACGAUCUGUAGCUGGUCUGAGAGGACGACCAGCCACACUGGGACUGAGACACGGCCCAGACUCCUACGGGAGGCAGCAGUGGGGAAUUUUGGACAAUGGGCGCAAGCCUGAUCCAGCAAUGCCGCGUGCAGGAUGAAGGCCUUCGGGUUGUAAACUGCUUUUGUACGGAACGAAACGGUGAGCUCUAAUACAGUUUGCUAAUGACGGUACCGUAAGAAUAAGCACCGGCUAACUACGUG
This 419-nucleotide ribosomal RNA is filed under the name uncultured bacterium. Its description in RNAcentral is "bacterial SSU rRNA". It matches the Rfam family "Bacterial small subunit ribosomal RNA", at positions 93 to 507 of the family's 1533-position model. The record is from RNAcentral.